ACUUUUGCAAUUACUGCCACUGGAUUCAAUGGGUUAACUCAGGACAGGGAACAACUGUCAAUUGCAGCAUCUGGUGCCACUUUUGACUUUUAUAUAUAUUUUGUUUUUCUCAAAAAUGUGAAAACAUAAGAUGGUUUGAAGGACAGCAACUUUCAACUGUAAUUUUCAGAUCCAUUCCAGACUUCCUGCCUUAUUUUUCUUCAUGCAAGAUCAAGCUAUGAAACAAAUAGAGGGAUUUAACAUUCUGGAAAAUGCCUGGAGAACAGAAGGCCUGAAACUGAAAUCUAUGCAUACAUGUCUGCC
Molecule: long non-coding RNA, 303 nt
Organism: Anas platyrhynchos (mallard)
Lineage: Eukaryota; Metazoa; Chordata; Aves; Anseriformes; Anatidae
Source: RefSeq, a predicted model, not a curated record